This 4759-nucleotide long non-coding RNA is filed under the name Spirodela polyrhiza (greater duckweed). RNAcentral's name for it is "long non-coding RNA (SPOL_LNC000570)". Lineage: Eukaryota; Viridiplantae; Streptophyta; Magnoliopsida; Alismatales; Araceae. The record is from RNAcentral.
CUCCCCCUGCGAGCAAUUUGCCGGACCUGAACUCCGUCGCCGACAAGGAUUCCGGCGAGGAGUUCCCUCCUCAACAGCCGCCGGAGAACUACCACCAUCACCAUCACCACCACCAUCAUCAGCAGAAGCAGCACCAGGAGCAUCACCAGCAGGGGCAGAGGAGGGGCUCCCCGGAGGAGCAGAGGGCGGCGAGGAGGAAGCGGAUCGAGAUGAUCCACACGAGGAGGAGGAUUGCCGCCAUGAGAUGACACCUCCUCAAGGAUCCCCCCUCCUCCUCCCUGAUUACUCUCACACAUACUACCUCUGCUGCUACCACACUAGUUAGGGUUUUUGGCUGUAACAUACCUUCCUCCUCCUCGCCGGCGACGGAGACGAACAAGCUAGGAGAAUCCGGUGGCCAAUCCUCACCCGCCGGCGGGAGGAAGGACUCCUACGCUUGAGAUUGCUUGCUCACUCGGCUCCUUGUUCUUCUUCUUCUUCAAUAUUUAUUCUAUCAAUAAAAGGUUUAUUAUUAUUUUUACGACGGAAUGGGCCAGGAAAAAUGGUCCAGAUGGAUUUAGUUACCAAUCAGCCCGUUAAGCAGAGUUCCUCAUCAGCCAAAAUCCAGCCUCACCGGACCCGGGCCUGAGCCCGUCGACCAUUGUACGGCCCGCGGGCCGAAGCUGAGCCUCAUAUGCUUAUUUUUCAGAGGGGGGGGGAGGGGGAUGGAUUAUUGUGGGCCCUACCUUCUCAAGGAGCGGGGCUGAGACCCAGGGCCCACCACCGGAGACCCCUAGUAGACAAGGCUGGUGUCUAGCCUGCAACAGUGCCACGUCAGAAAACAUUCAUGGUCAACGAUCGGUGAAGAAUGGAAUGUCUACUACCCUUUGUGCGAGUCAGCCGGGGUGGUUCUCUCCUUGUUUUCUAGAUAGAGAAACAAAUAAGAUAAAAUAAAAUAAAUUCGAAACAAAGAUGAGUAUGGGUUCGGAUUUGUAUUCUGAUGCAUAGGCAUGAACUAAAAUAAACAGGGAGCUGGAGUCCAUGCAUUUGAGAGGACAUAUAUGAUUAGCAAUCUUAUAAAAGUAAGUUCUUUUAUCAUUAAAGGCACAGAAGAGGACCAGAAGUCGGUCGGACUGCCUGUAAAAGCACUUCUAAAAGAACUUACUUUGGCAACGUUAUGUAUCUGUCCGUAUCCCCCGCAAUCUGAAAAGCCCAAAAAGAGUAACUCCAAAGGUAAGAAGGAAAAUAGAUUCGACAUUGAGAAAGCCAGCUGCUUGUACCUCUUCAAUAGGGCCGUUGUAGAAUAUUCCCUCAGAUGGCGGCUUGGAGCCCAUAGAAGUGCCAUGUCAAGAUGCAUUGGAUGUGAUAGAAGAAACCCAAGUUUAUAGUAUCCUGACAUGACAUCUACUCUGCGAAAUUUUUUUUCUUCUUAUAGAAAAGUUGUACGGGUAUGAUGCCUGUGCAGAGGAAGGAACAGCAGCAUGGGCAAAUUCCUGAGCUUCGAGAUGACAUAAGGUUAAUAAAAUCAGGCCUCGAAGACAGAAAUAACGUAGAAAUGAUGAAAAAAAUAUCAAUAUCUAGAGUUGAAAGGCAUUUCCAAAAUCUCAGUAGGCACGUGUUUUAUAUGAUCAAGAUGGCUGAUCUUUCAACAUUUCUGCGUAUUAUACCAUUGUCUGAUAAAGUUGAAUAGCCAUUUCGGCACCCUGUAGGUUAGGAUACAGCAAGCUACGUAAAACGGACACGCAAAAUUAGCAAAUGAUUAACUUUUUCCUCAGAGGCAGAAAAAUGAAGGCAUAUGAAAUUCAACAAGCAACCUCAGAUUCAAAUUUACAACUUUAAUUGAGGAUAAAUGGUAGCGAAUUGAUCGGCAAUGAUGUCAGGAGAAGCAGUUUCCGGAUGGCAAAUAUAUUUUUUGAAAUGCAUACAGGGCAAUAGCAAUCAUAUAAAUCAAGGGCCGGAGUAUUUCCAAACGGAAAAUAAUGGCUGCGAAGUAUCUUGGGAUAUCUUGCAGGGAAUCCACAAGAAUAAGCUACACGAACAAACCCAAUUUCAGAAUAAAUAAGUUUUUACCAUUUACACCACUAAAAUCAUGACCUACGUGCACAGAGAAAUUUUGGACGAGCGUGUGAUGGUCAAAAGGAUAACGAAGGGCAGUCCUUGCUGCAACCACCUUCAAAGUUGCUUCACCUGCACAGACAAACAAAAGUACUUCAGAGAUAGAUGGAUAGAUAGAGAGCGAAAAAGUGUGUGUGUGUGUGUGUGUAGUGAGAGAGAGAGAGAGAGAGAGAGAGAGAGAGAGAGAGAGAGNNNNNNNNNNNNNNNNNNNNNNNNNNNNNNNNNNNNNNNNNNNNNNNNNNNNNNNNNNNNNNNNNNNNNNAGAGAGAGAGAGAGAGAGAGCUUGCAUUAAAAUCUGUCAUAUAUGGUUUAAAGGCAGAAUGCAGUACUUUCCUCUCAAAGAGAGCUUCGGACGAUCUGAGAUGGGAGAGGAUACGGUUACGACAGAUCGAUUCAAUGCGUGAACUACAAAUUCAUUAUUCACUCCAAGUACAAAUUCUGUUUCUUCUCAUGCUAUGGCCACUGCAAUGAUAAAAUAUUAAUAUCCUAUCCACAACUGAACCUAAAAAGAAAAUGACCUUUUAUUUCUAUGAAUAAAUUAAAUUUACAGCGAGCAGCUUUUUUUGGAGAAACACAAGCGGUAUCCACCUACCGAGCAGGACCAGCAAAUGCAACAUCAUUGAUUGGACAUUUUCACCUACAGUGAGGAUAUCCCCUCCCAUGACGUCAGUUACAUCUCUGGUAUCCGACUGGCAUCUAGCAACUGAACAGUACAAAAAAAAAUUCUAAGAUCAAUAUUCAAGAAAUUAAUGUUCGAGAACUAUAUAAACAUGUGGUGAAGGAUGUGAAUAUGAAACUUCAAAGACUAUAUGGAAACAUGUCACCAGAUAAACCGUAAAAAAACAAUUUUGAAAAACCAUAAAUACUACCAUGCCAAUCAACUACGCCGUGAGUUCCUAGAGAAAGCAGGCCACCUAAUCAUCAAAGCAAAAGAGCGAAACGGAAGCGCUCUGCUCAAAAAUGGACAGGAAAUCAUCAAUGAUGCAGAAAUUCUACUUGGGUCUACGCCAUACAUUGUAUGGAAAAGAGUCAUCCAAUUCAUUAUAUUUAUAAGUUAAUCCCCGACUUGAAAAUACAUUAUUUUAGGGAAAAAAAAGGUUGAUAUAGUAGAACCUUGACAAAACACAGCGCGGACAGGAAGCAGUCCUUGGAUGCCAUUAUUUAAUAACACGAUGCAUCACCAUCUAGAGAUAUUCAAAACAUACUCCGGGGGAGCGAGAAAAUUAACUACAAUUACGAGGGGAAGGGGAGUAAAAUUACGGGGUCAAUGUCUGUCGCCCAUUUUAAGCAAAUUAAUUUCUUAUGCUAGCAAGGAUUUGACAUGUUGUAAAUUUUGUUAUUCAUGUUUAGAUUCCAAUGAUGGGGGCGAAUCGCCUCAUACCUUUAAAACUGCAAACGCAGACGCUUGUUGAAGGGACUGAUUAAAGAUUUCAGAGAUGAUCCCGAAUUAUGGCUUUUCAAUGGACUACUGAAAUCUUUUGGCUUUCUUUCCCGCAGUAUCAUCAAAAGCUAUGUAGCUCCUUAGUAUCGUCCACUAUUACCUAGCGUUCCAUCACGAUCCAGCCAUUACUUACAUUGACUGCCUUACGAUGGCACAAAUACACCAAUUUAAGAAGGCAGUUGAAUGGAAGAAAGCUAAAUAUCAUCACACAGAACUUCCUCCCAGUUCCAUCUUUUUCUUCUCUCCAAAAUGAGAUGCCACUUCGUUGCUCCAAAAUAUCAACAAUUUUUUUUUCUCCAUGAACGUCUAUAGUAUGGAGCCCCCAGGGCGAAGCUAGUGGGAUAAAUACAUGACAGCCCAUCGGGGAGAGUGAAGAUUCCGUGUUAAGACUGAAUAAGGAAGUGUUGAUCUGUUGAUGAUCAACACUUCCAGACUGACUAAGCGGCGUUCUGUCUUUCUUACAGACUGAAUAGACGCUCGAUCAGUUGAUGAUCGUUGAUAUGAUUUGAGUCGAGAUUCCGGGAUCGCAGAUGACUUUCUCGAGAGGAAUUUUCAAGCUAAAUAACUCGAUCAAGACUGAACAAGAUAAUAAAACGAAAACAACAAUCAAUACAGAUAUUAAAUCCUCGAAGUGAUUUUCUUUUGCGCACAAUAAAAUUCCUUGGAUCUUCAGGAAUCAUGGAUUAGAGAAGCAAAAGGACGAGAGGGAGAGAACGAUGUACGAUGAGAGAGAAUGAGAGUGAGGAAAGAGCCAGGAAGAUGGAGAAGGUUACCUUAAAGUACUCAUCAUACCCAUGGGUAUGAACGGAGAUUAAGCAAACAAGCUGAGCUGUUACGUUCAGAUACUGGAGGGUACGAGAGCGGUUCUUCUCGCACACCGGAGACUUUUUCUAAACCCCAGACGACAGGCAUGCGGCGAAAUCCGAUGGCCAAAUGUACGUCAGAAAACAGGGAAAAGGACAAAGAUGGAUCGCCGCGGCAGGAAGGAAAACAACCGAACAACUCGAAAAAUCCCUAAAUCGACACUGAACGAAGAUCACAAAAUAAAAACGACGGAUCAGUUACCUUCAGAGAUCGAAGCCCCCCGAAGAGCUGUUCGUCUUAUAGACGAGGCAAAUUCUUCGAGAUCCUAACGGUGUCGCCGACCACAGCGGCGGAACGGAGAGCGUAAUGCACCUCGGGAGCCGGGGGAGGAAGGCGAAGAGCAGCGCCGGCGAGAUGAUG